Molecule: long non-coding RNA, 555 nt
Organism: Xiphophorus couchianus (Monterrey platyfish)
Lineage: Eukaryota; Metazoa; Chordata; Actinopteri; Cyprinodontiformes; Poeciliidae
Exons: 2
Source: RefSeq, a predicted model, not a curated record
CAGCAACGAUCGCCCAUCCCCAGCCUCCAUCUAGGACUUUGGUGGACGAAGACAUGGUGCUGAUGUUACUGGGGGCCGAUGGGAUCUGUUACAGCUUUUACUGAGGAGAAGUUCCUGAAAAAAAGAAGAAAAAAUAUACAUAUCCUCGAUGUAAGGAGGGCUGCUGCAACACCUGGCCUGGACAGUUGGUCACCUGUGUGAGGUCCUCGGCUCGAUGUGACUGCAGCCUCCCUACAGCCAGCUGCUCUAUUUGUUGCUUUCUGUCUAACCACACCUUACAGGAGGAGGAGAAUGCGGCUGAUCUCCUUUCUCUGCCUCUGUGAUCUGACUUUUCCAUGAUUCACCUCUGAUAGGGGGUCUUUGAUCAGUUAGAGUACUUUCUCUAAAUUAUUUGGAGCCCAUCGCAUCGUUGCACUCCACUGCAGCAUAAUGAAUCCCUCCCCAUAUUACCUGUAAAUUACGUUUAAACUAUAAAAGCAAAAGUUGAUACAAUAUGUUCUUUUGGUUAUAGAUUCAUCCGCUCGCAAUGCAAUGAAAAUAAAAAUAGUUGGUUUG